GCGGGGUGGAUGGUUGGCAGUUAGGGGCGAAACGGGGUGUUUUGGUUGGUGGUUAGGGGCGAAGCGGGGUGUUUUGGUUGGCGGUUAGGGGCGAAGCGAGGUGGAUAGUUGGCGGUUAGGGGUGAAGCGUGGUGUUUUGGUUGGCGGUUAGGGGCGAAGAGGGGUGGAUGGUUGGCGGUUAGGGGCGAAGCGGGGUGUUUUGGUUGGCGGUUAGGGGUGAAGCGGGGUGGAUGGUUGACAGUCAGGGGCGAAGCGGGGUGGAUGGUUGACAGUCAGGGGCGAAGCGGGGUGUUUAUGUUGGCGGUUAGGGGCGAAGCGGGGUGGUUGGUUGGCGGUUAGGGGCGAAGCGUGAUGUUUUGGUUGGCGGUCAGGGGUGAAGCGGAUGGUUGGCGGUUAGGGGGAAUGCGGGGUGGAUGGUUGGCGGUUAGGGGCGAAGCGUGGUGUUUGGUU
This is a long non-coding RNA of Oncorhynchus tshawytscha (Chinook salmon), 450 nucleotides long. NCBI's taxonomy places the organism in Eukaryota, Metazoa, Chordata, Actinopteri, Salmoniformes, Salmonidae. The record is from Ensembl.